This 339-nucleotide ribosomal RNA is filed under the name Vibrio parahaemolyticus. RNAcentral's name for it is "partial 23S ribosomal RNA". It matches the Rfam family "Bacterial large subunit ribosomal RNA", at positions 197 to 583 of the family's 2925-position model. Lineage: Bacteria; Pseudomonadati; Pseudomonadota; Gammaproteobacteria; Vibrionales; Vibrionaceae. The record is from RNAcentral.
AACAUCUAAGUACCCCGAGGAAAAGAAAUCAACCGAGAUUCCGAAAGUAGCGGCGAGCGAAAUUGGACUAGCCCUUAAGCUUUACACGCGUUAGACGAACGGUCUGGAAAGUCCGACGAUACAGGGUGAUAGUCCCGUAGUUGACGACGUGUGUUCAGUGAAAUCGAGUAGGGCGGGACACGUGAUAUCCUGUCUGAAUAUGGGGGGACCAUCCUCCAAGGCUAAAUACUACUGACUGACCGAUAGUGAACCAGUACCGUGAGGGAAAGGCGAAAAGAACCCCUGUGAGGGGAGUGAAAUAGAACCUGAAACCGUGUACGUACAAGCAGUAGGAGCAGG